Molecule: long non-coding RNA, 914 nt
Organism: Pungitius pungitius (ninespine stickleback)
Lineage: Eukaryota; Metazoa; Chordata; Actinopteri; Perciformes; Gasterosteidae
Exons: 3
Source: RefSeq, a predicted model, not a curated record
CUGCAUGUAUGCUUUGGAUGAACACGGCUGCCGAUGGAUAAGCUCAUUGGGCCUCAGAAAACAAGCGUGGAGAAGAUAUGAGAGCAGAGAGUGGAAUCCACCCGGCUGAUGAAAAGAUGACUUCUUUCAGGUCGUGUAGUACAGCAACAUACGUCAUGCAUCUGCUCAAAUUCUAUUGUCUUUCUCGAGAAAUGUCAAAGCAUCACGACUUCGCCUCGUGCAACGGCACUUAAAUGCUGUCCCUUGCGAGGCUGACUGCCGCCACGAUCUGCAACUGCAAUCUUUUCUCAUCCCCUACUGUGGCCGCAGUCAACAUCCCAUGGAGAGAAAAUGUUUCAUAUUUUAACGGUGUACACCAGAGGCCCCCCACCCCUACUGGAAGAUUGCCCCCUUUUUUCCUCCACCACUUUCCCUGAUGCCCACCGCUUUUAAGGAGCAUGUAAAUCUCACCAGUAAAUAUUUCAUCAGGGUCGAGCGGGGCCCAUCCACCCCUCCCCUUUCUCCAGUGGGGUUAAUAGAAUUCGGGCUGGCAGUCUAAUUAAAUCAGGAGAGGAACGCCUGCAAUACACACCCGCGCUUCCCCUCUCACCCAGUGCCACAGUUUUCCAAUCCACCGGAAGUAAAGAUGGAGGGGGGGGGUGAGGGAUGUAUGUCGGGAUAAUUGGUGGGACAGAGAAUCCAAAACGGGUCUCAAAAUAGAUUUACGGUGUUUUGUCCAUGGGGAGAUUGUUAAAAUGACCAAAAUAGACAAAAUAAACUGAAUUUUUUCUUUUGUCAGUAUUUCCCAACCUUUAAGAUAGCCACAAAUAAACAAGGCACGACCGAUGACCAAAAGAGUCACGCGUCCCUUCCAUUGAGUCAUUGAGAGAGGAAUGCGUUGGGCAGAAAUGUAUGCUGUGCAAUAAAUGUUGAAA